UACGUAGGGUGCGAGCGUUGUCCGGAUUUAUUGGGCGUAAAGAGCUCGUAGGCGGUUUGUCGCGUCGGCCGUGAAAUCUCCACGCUUAACGUGGAGCGUGCGGUCGAUACGGGCAGACUUGAGUUCGGUAGGGGAGACUGGAAUUCCUGGUGUAGCGGUGAAAUGCGUAGAUAUCGGGAGGAACACCAGUGGCGAAGGCGGCGACCUGGGCCAAUAUUGACGCUGAGGUGCGAAAGCGUGGGGAGCAAACAGG
Molecule: ribosomal RNA, 253 nt
Filed under: uncultured bacterium
Lineage: Bacteria
Description: partial 16S ribosomal RNA
Rfam family: Bacterial small subunit ribosomal RNA
Source: RNAcentral